Molecule: ribosomal RNA, 467 nt
Filed under: uncultured bacterium
Lineage: Bacteria
Description: partial 16S ribosomal RNA
Rfam family: Bacterial small subunit ribosomal RNA
Source: RNAcentral
ACGAACGCUGGCGGCGUGCUUAACCCAUGCAAGUCGAACGGAAAGGCCCUGCUUUUGUGGGGUGCUCGAGUGGCGAACGGGUGAGUAACACGUGAGUAACCUGCCCUUGACUUUGGGAUAACUUCAGGAAACUGGGGCUAAUACCGGAUAGGAGCUCCUGCUGCAUGGUGGGGGUUGGAAAGUUUCGGCGGUUGGGGAUGGACUCGCGGCUUAUCAGCUUGUUGGUGGGGUAGUGGCUUACCAAGGCUUUGACGGGUAGCCGGCCUGAGAGGGUGACCGGCCACAUUGGGACUGAGAUACGGCCCAGACUCCUACGGGAGGCAGCAGUGGGGAAUAUUGCACAAUGGGCGGAAGCCUGAUGCAGCAACGCCGCGUGCGGGAUGACGGCCUUCGGGCUGUAAACCGCUUUCGCCUGUGACGAAGCGUGAGUGACGGUAAUGGGUAAAGAAGCACCGGCUAACUACGUG